GGCUGGUCCGACGGUAGUGGGUUAUCAGAACUUAUUAACAUUAGUGUCACUAAAGUUGGUAUACAACCCUCACUGCUAAAUUUGACUGGCUUUAA
Molecule: Y RNA, 95 nt
Organism: Callithrix jacchus (white-tufted-ear marmoset)
Lineage: Eukaryota; Metazoa; Chordata; Mammalia; Primates; Cebidae
Rfam family: Y RNA
About the family: Y RNAs are components of the Ro ribonucleoprotein particle (Ro RNP), in association with Ro60 and La proteins. The Y RNAs and Ro60 and La proteins are well conserved, but the function of the Ro RNP is not known. In humans the RNA component can be one of four small RNAs -- hY1, hY3, hY4 and hY5.
Source: Ensembl